RNAcentral lists this ribosomal RNA (411 nucleotides) under Microsporidia sp. RNAcentral's name for it is "SSU rRNA". It matches the Rfam family "Eukaryotic small subunit ribosomal RNA", at positions 1341 to 1791 of the family's 1831-position model. Lineage: Eukaryota; Fungi; Microsporidia. The record is from RNAcentral.
CCUUAACCUGCUAAAUAGGGGCGGUAGCGCAAGCUGCCGACUCCUUCUUAGAGGGACUAGCUAGGUGUUACUAGCUGGAAGUUUGAGGCAAUAACAGGUCUGUGAUGCCCUUAGAUGUUCUGGGCCGCACGCGCGCUACACUGGCAGAGGCAGCGAGUUGUACCUUGGCCGAAAGGCCUGGGAAAUCUUGUGAAACUCUGCCGUGAUGGGGAUAGAUCAUUGUAAUUAUUGGUCUUUAACGAGGAAUUCCUAGUAAGCGCAAGUCAUCAGCUUGCGUUGAUUAUGUCCCUGCCCUUUGUACACACCGCCCGUCACUACUACCGAUUGAAUGACUUAAUGAGGGUCGGGGAGCGAGCGAGCAAUUGCCUGCGAACCGACACGAAUUUGGCCAUUUAGAGGAAGUACAAGUCG